This is a long non-coding RNA of Triticum aestivum (bread wheat), 1364 nucleotides long. RefSeq lists it as uncharacterized. NCBI's taxonomy places the organism in Eukaryota, Viridiplantae, Streptophyta, Magnoliopsida, Poales, Poaceae. The transcript is spliced from 2 exons. The record is from RefSeq and is a predicted model, not a curated record.
ACCUACCCAUCACAUUCUACGCCGCCGGCGCCACUCACCCGAGCCCCGGCCCCUCCCUCCCCACCAUCUCCAGUGUGUUGCGGUCCACCCGAGCCCCCCACCCCCACCUUCUCCGGUGCAGCGCACCCACCUGAGCUAUCACCCCACCCAAUCCCGGCGACCUCCUACUCCGGCCCCGGCUGCCGCCCAGAGCACCGCCGCUUCGGCAGCCAUGACAGCCUCCGAUGCGCCGCCGACCUUCCAUGACCACCGGAUCUGGCCCCCAAACAACAUGUUCAUCCACCGCGUGCCUACUGCCUCGAUAUGGACCUGACGAUGGGCUCCUCCCUCCCGCUCCUCUCCGACAGAGCGUUAGGCUGGGUCCCCGUCAUGGCCCCGCCCAGAUCCGGGGAUGGCCGGCGGCCUCCCAUGGGCUUCCCCCGUCUUAGUCUCCUCUCUGUCGUCGUCUGUCAGGUGAGCAACAACUCCACCGUGACCCCUUUCCACCUGCUAUUCUCUUCUCUCUAUUCCCGUCGUCCUCUCUCAUCUCUCUGUCCUCCGAGUAGCAACGGGACUCCAUGCCUGAUCUGGGACUCGUCUGCGCGUCACCGCUGUCAGGGUACCCGAGUUCAACGCCAUCCCGCUCUUCUCUGCCAUGUGCAGUGCACACCUGGCCGCGCUGCAAGUCCUCCACCCAUUUGUGCCAUCAUCCACGGUGUAGUCCACACGGCCGGAGUAUGUUGCAGCCCACAUCUACAGCAGGGGUAGCUCGCAGCCUGCCGACGUGCAGUUUCGGCAGCAGUUGUUUGCAGGACUAUUUUUGUUGUUUUCCAGAGCUUGGAUUUUUGCCGGACCCCUUUCAUUUGAUUGUAGUUCGCUUCGUCGGCGUCCGCGGUGAACCUCAUUUUAGAAAAAGAAAAAAAGUGGCAACUUGGUGAAAAUCGCUGCAGUUCAUUGUGGGGCCCGUGGUUAUUCUGUUUGUAUAAAAACAACUAUGGACGCGAUUCACUUUUUAUUCUUUGUAGGUCGCAGUUAUCCAAUGGGAGGAAGAUCCUGAGGGUGUUAGUACAAAAGGAAGUGCACUCAAUGAACACUAGCGGUGCAGUUGUUUUGUAGUUCGCUUGCUAUGUACAAAAGUGCAGUUUAUUUGUAAUGAUCCUUGUGAUCUGUUCGAUAUGUAAUAGAAAUUUUAGGCACAUGCAGUACACUACUUUCAUCCACGCAGCUCAGAACGAACACACACAAAAAACAGUGCGAAAAAGUGCAGCCCCUUGGUGGCUCACUUUGUAAAUGAAAGAGAAAGAAAUCUCCACGGGAGGUUCACUUCUUUCUCUGAUGCAAUUAUUUUUGUUUGUGGGACUAAUGGAAAAAGUAAUUCAUUCCAA